This 492-nucleotide ribosomal RNA is filed under the name uncultured bacterium. RNAcentral's name for it is "partial 16S ribosomal RNA". It matches the Rfam family "Bacterial small subunit ribosomal RNA", at positions 29 to 507 of the family's 1533-position model. The record is from RNAcentral.
AGUGAACGCUGGCGGUAGGCCUAACACAUGCAAGUCGAACGGCAGCACAGUAAGAGCUUGCUAUUACGGGUGGCGAGUGGCGGACGGGUGAGGAAUACAUCGGAAUCUACUUUUUAGUUGGGGAUAACGUAGGGUAACAUACGCUAAUACCGCAUACGAACUACGGGUGAACGCAGGGGAUCUUCGGACUUUGCGCGAUUGAAUGAGCCGAUGUCGGAUUAGCUAGUUGGCGGGGUAAAGGCGCACCAAGGCGACGAUCCGUAGCUGGUCUGAGAGGAUGAUCAGCCACACUGGAACUGAGACACGGUCCAGACUCCUACGGGAGGCAGCAGUGGGGAAUAUUGGACAAUGGGCGCAAGCCUGAUCCAGCCAUGCCGCGUGGGUGAAGAAGGCCUUCGGGUUGUAAAGUCCUUUUGUUGGGAAAGAAAAGCAGCAGGUUAAUACCCCGCUGUUCUGACGGUACCCAAAGAAUAAGCACCGGCUAACUUCGUG